GAACGCACAUUGCGCCCACUGGUAUUCCAUUGGGCAUACCUGUUUGAGUGUCAGAAUCCUUCCAAUUAUCAAACUUUUAUAUAUCUAUAUAUGUAAAGAUGUUUGGACUUUUAUUGAGAAGAGUAGUAUUAUUAUAAUAUUACUUUCUUAAAAACCAGAAAUAUUUUGUUUUGGUUUUCUUCCAACUCAUUUUGUAUUUAAUAUAACAAAUGAGUGUGAAUGUUAACAAACAAACAAUAAUAAUACCUUUGGAUGACCUCAAAUCAGGUAGGACUACCCGCUGAACUUA
RNAcentral lists this unclassified non-coding RNA (289 nucleotides) under uncultured Pezizaceae. RNAcentral describes it as "sequence contains 5.8S rRNA gene". The stretch from base 1 to 53 matches the Rfam family "5.8S ribosomal RNA", at positions 102 to 154 of the family's 154-position model. The record is from RNAcentral. Lineage: Eukaryota; Fungi; Ascomycota; Pezizomycetes; Pezizales; Pezizaceae.